UACAGUUAGGUGCUUAAAUAGAAUAAUGAAA
RNAcentral lists this non-coding RNA (31 nucleotides) under Mus musculus (house mouse). The record is from RNAcentral. Lineage: Eukaryota; Metazoa; Chordata; Mammalia; Rodentia; Muridae.